UUUUAGAAAUUAAUUUAAAGUCUAACCUGCCCACUGAAAUUUUAAAUGGCCGCAGUAUCCUAACUGUGCAAAGGUAGCAUAAUCAUUAGUCUUUUAAUUGAAGGCUGGAAUGAAUGGUUGAAUGAAAUAUUAACUGUUUCAUAAAAAUUUAUAAUAGAAUUUUAUUUUUUAGUCAAAAAGCUAAAAUAUUAUUAAAAGACGAGAAGACCCUAUAAAUCUUUAUAUUAAUAUAUUUUUAAUUAUUUAGAUAAAUUAAAUUAUAAAUAAAAUUAAUAUUUUAUUGGGGUGAUAUUAAAAUUUAAUAAACUUUUAAUUAUUAAUUAACAUAAAUUAAUGAAUUAUUGAUCCAUAGAUAAUGAUUAAAAAUUUAAGUUACUUUAGGGAUAACAGCGUAAUUUUUUUAGAGAGUUCAUAUUGAUAAAAA
Molecule: ribosomal RNA, 424 nt
Filed under: Megaselia sp. MEG-081
Lineage: Eukaryota; Metazoa; Arthropoda; Insecta; Diptera; Phoridae
Description: partial 16S ribosomal RNA
Source: RNAcentral